CCUACGGGAGGCAGCAGUGAGGAAUAUUGGUCAAUGGGCGCGAGCCUGAACCAGCCAAGUAGCGUGAAGGAUGACUGCCCUACGGGUUGUAAACUUCUUUUAUAAAGGAAUAAAGUGAGGCACGUGUGCCCCUUUGUAUGUAUUUUAUGAAUAAGGAUCGGCUAACUCUGUGCCAGAAGCCGCGGUAAUAUGGAGGAUCCGAGCGUUAUCCGGAUUUAUUGGGUUUAAAGGGAGCGUAGAUGGGUUGUUAAGUCAGUUGUGAAAGUUUGCGGCUCAAUCGUAAAAUUGCAAUUGAUACUGGCAGCCUUGAGUGCAGAUAGGGAAGGCGGAAUUCGUGGUGUAGCGGUGAAAUGCUUAGAUAUCACGAAGAACUCCGAUUGCGAAGGCAGCUUACUAAGCUGCCACUGACAUUGAUGCUCGAAAGUGUGGGUAUCAAACAGGAUUAGAUACCCCAGUAGUC
This 460-nucleotide ribosomal RNA is filed under the name uncultured bacterium. RNAcentral's name for it is "partial 16S ribosomal RNA". It matches the Rfam family "Bacterial small subunit ribosomal RNA", at positions 338 to 795 of the family's 1533-position model. The record is from RNAcentral.